GUCCCCGUCGAUUAGUGGUUAGAUCAUCACGUUGUGGCUUAGUCAGCAAAACCGUGGGGACGCAGGCUCGACUCCUGCCAGGGACA
Molecule: transfer RNA, 86 nt
Filed under: Lentinula edodes (shiitake mushroom)
Lineage: Eukaryota; Fungi; Basidiomycota; Agaricomycetes; Agaricales; Omphalotaceae
Also listed under: 1 other name
Rfam family: tRNA
About the family: Transfer RNA (tRNA) molecules are approximately 80 nucleotides in length. Their secondary structure includes four short double-helical elements and three loops (D, anti-codon, and T loops).
Source: Rfam by way of RNAcentral